Molecule: long non-coding RNA, 1125 nt
Filed under: Gopherus agassizii (Agassiz's desert tortoise)
Lineage: Eukaryota; Metazoa; Chordata; Testudines; Testudinidae
Description: lncRNA (ENSGAGG00000000804.1)
Source: RNAcentral
UGGCACCAGUGCAGCUCAACAGUGGGAGCACUAGUGGAGACAGGCUGCCAACAUUUUAACUACUGUGUCAACAGCAUUCCGUGGGAUCCGUGUCCACAACUGGCGUAUGUAGUGGCUGGAAGUUUCCUGAUAAAUGGCGGAGAUGGGAAAGCUGUAAUGUACCCAACCUGGACCAUGGCUGGAUUUUCAUUUUCUUAUCACCUCUGCUUUAUAGAUGCCGCCAUCGCCAUUUGGUUCUGGUUAUAAACUGUUCAUGGCAGAGUGGAGCUUCUGAUGUCCCUCAUGCAUCUAUUUUUAGUGAAGUACAUCUCAGGGGCAGACCAAAUGAGGCUGUUUGUGUUUCUGUUUACUGUAUUUGCAAGCAAUGCUUUCUCUUUAUCUUAACAGAAGAUAAGUUUAAAUGUUUGUCCCAGUCUUUAGUCACCAUAGCAAAGGAAGAGAAAACAUAUGUACAGGAAACACAGAAAGCAAUAGCAGAGAUAAAAAGAGUAAAUUAACAUUACCCUCAUUGUAGGAAACUCAUUAGAGGACAGAGAAACUUGUGUUCCUACUAACCUGGAUCUUCCGUGAUUUCUCAGUUCUCAGACUUCAAGCCAAGUCUUUCUCUAACCUGCACCUCACUGGAGCCCUAUGGAAAAAUAGGGACAUACAACUUGAUAGUUUCUUGUUAACUUCAUUUCUGAACUGAAGGCAAAACCCGAACUAUUCUGGCUGACCUCUAGCCAAUGUAUCCAUUUCAUCAACUCAGCCCCGCAUUCAACCUCCUCAUUCACACAGGCAAGACUCUGGGGACUUAUAUCAGCAUCUCCUGCCAUCAACUCCAGAAUGUCUUGGGGACCAGCGUUCGAACAGAAAGGGCCAGUUAAAAAGCCAUGUUUUAGAUGACAUUCCAACAUCUCCUUGGGAGCCAAUGUGUGAAGAGAAGACUGUCAGGUCUGUCAAACCAUUCUUGCCUUUACUUGUUAAAGAGGAUUUAAUGAGGAGGUUUUUACUGAUCUAUUGUGAAGGUUGCUGGAGGCUGGACGCUUUACUCCAAAAGGUAAAGGCAGCAACAUUCCAUCAGGAAAGCAGCACAUAUUAAAAGGAGACAAAUAAACUAAAACAAGUCCAUUGGGCUUAAUAGCA